Molecule: non-coding RNA, 148 nt
Filed under: Gorilla gorilla gorilla (western lowland gorilla)
Lineage: Eukaryota; Metazoa; Chordata; Mammalia; Primates; Hominidae
Source: Rfam by way of RNAcentral
GCCAGGCGUAGUGGUGCGCGCCUGUAGUCCCAGCUACUCGGGAGGCUGAGGCAGGAGAAUCGCUUGAACCCAGGAGGUGGAGGUUGUGAUGAGCCAAGAUCUCGCCACUGCACUCCAGCCUGGGUGACAGAGCGAGACUCUGUCUCAA